Portunus trituberculatus (swimming crab) is the source of this 648-nucleotide long non-coding RNA. RefSeq lists it as uncharacterized. The transcript has 3 exons. The record is from RefSeq and is a predicted model, not a curated record. NCBI's taxonomy places the organism in Eukaryota, Metazoa, Arthropoda, Malacostraca, Decapoda, Portunidae.
UCCAGUGUGGUGCCCAGCCCGACUCCUGCACGGGACGCAACAGGUAGGCACGCUGCUGCUCCUGUACCACGUUAGUAGUAUAGAGAACAAGGUAUCCUGAUGGCUCGGGGUACACGUACAGCGUCACAAGCCCCAAGGGACCUGCCACCUGGUUGACUCGAAUGAAGGAAGGCGAGAGGGGAAGCAACAGACCAGACAGACAGAUGCUUGUGUGUCCUCACCACCACCACCACCACCACCACCACCACCACCACCACCACCACCAGCAUCAGCUUCAAGACAGACUAUCAACAUGACUGUUGAGUGUCUGAUCCUCCACAGAUCCUGGGAGGAGGCAAAUCGUAUGCAAGGUGAGGAAAACAAAGCUGAGAUUCACAACAGUUGAAGGACCGACUGUAAGACUGAUGGUCUGAGAAUGUUGUGUAUCAUGUAGGUGUUUGAUGGCACGAAUGAUACAUUUCGAUUUUAUGUAGUGUGUGUGUGUGUGUGUGUGUGUGUGUGUGUGUGUGUGUGUGUGUGUGUGUGUGUGUGUGUGUGUGUGUGUGUGUGUGUGUGUGUGUGUCUGUCUGUCUGUCUGUCUCUGUAUUGGCGCCCUCAUGUGUGUUGAUGUGCUCAUGCGCAGACGUCAAUAAAAUAUGUAAUAUCUGA